RNAcentral lists this non-coding RNA (26 nucleotides) under Mus musculus (house mouse). The record is from RNAcentral. Lineage: Eukaryota; Metazoa; Chordata; Mammalia; Rodentia; Muridae.
UAGAAUGUGACCAAGGCGGCAGUGGA